This is a long non-coding RNA of Cygnus olor (mute swan), 255 nucleotides long. RefSeq lists it as uncharacterized. The record is from RefSeq and is a predicted model, not a curated record. NCBI's taxonomy places the organism in Eukaryota, Metazoa, Chordata, Aves, Anseriformes, Anatidae. The transcript has 4 exons.
AGUUCAGAAGUGGGCUCUUCCCAUCUACAGGCUCUGCGAAGCUCUGGGGAGAAGGGAGGCCAGCACUGACAUACACAGACACAGCCCAGACAUAGUCCAGCCCGGAUCGGGUACAGGCACAGGGAUUACUGCUGAUAACCCGGACCAGGAAGCCAUGCAUGGACCGAGGUAAGGGAAACUUUACCGUAUCUUGCCUCGGGUUGGGUUCAGGGAGACUCUUGUGUGGAGUGUGAACGAGACGCACUUCUAGUGCGA